Brassica oleracea var. oleracea is the source of this 74-nucleotide transfer RNA. It matches the Rfam family "tRNA". Rfam says of the family: Transfer RNA (tRNA) molecules are approximately 80 nucleotides in length. Their secondary structure includes four short double-helical elements and three loops (D, anti-codon, and T loops). Lineage: Eukaryota; Viridiplantae; Streptophyta; Magnoliopsida; Brassicales; Brassicaceae. The record is from Rfam.
GCUGGAAUAGCUCAGUUGGUUAGAGCGUGUGGCUGUUAACCACAAGGUCGGAGGUUUGACCCCUCCUUCUAGCG